Melospiza melodia melodia is the source of this 3077-nucleotide long non-coding RNA. RefSeq lists it as uncharacterized. The record is from RefSeq and is a predicted model, not a curated record. The transcript has 2 exons. Lineage: Eukaryota; Metazoa; Chordata; Aves; Passeriformes; Passerellidae.
CGGUGGGGCGGCCGCCCUCGGGCUGGCGGAGGCGCCGGAGGAGCCCCCGAGCUGCAGCCGUCUCCCUCGGGCUGCUGCCGGUGCUGCGGGCGGAGGCGGCUCCGCCGCGUGUUGGGCGCUGCGAGCAGGGAGCGCUGCGGUAUCGCCGGCAUGACGGGGCUGCUGCCUGCGUUAGUGCUCGUGGCUCUUUGUGCCGUGACAGCGGAUGGAGCGGCGCUGAGCGGGACACCCAGAGAUGGCCGGGAGAAUGCCCAGCGCAGGGAGCGGGCGGGCUGUGUGCUUCGGAUGGCACAGGUGCGAGCUGCAAAGUCACCCCCCCUUCCGCCCCUGCCCUCCCGAGCCCCGGAGAAAAUGCUUUCCAGCAUUGUCGAGCUUCUGAAAGACAAAACUUGUGAUUUGACACUAGCAUCCAGAAAAGGUUUCUGUCUAGAUUAGCAAAUGCCUAAAUUGUUCUUGGUUACAUCCCAUGACCGGUUUUAGGCAGUGACUUCAUACUGCUUUUAGGAUUUUCUUGUACACUGGUGAGAAAAUAGGCAGGUCUGAUAGUGGUUUCACUUUUUUUCUACUUCACGUUCCAUAAGAUUCUUUUAUCCAAGCGAUUGUUUUAAAAUUCUACUGUAAGCGUUUGUGGUUCACUUUUUUUUUCUUUGCAGCACCCGGGCCUUUUUUUUUUUCUCUAAAUCGGGAGUAAAUAUAGCUGAGUAAAAUUACCUUGGUUAUCUUCCUUCUUUUUAAACUUAAUUGUUUUUAUUAAUAAUUCUAUCUGAAUAUGCAGAAAAAGUGAGUAUGUCCUGUAAUCUAUGCUAGCUUUUCUCGUUUACAGGGUACUCACAAAAUAUGUCUCCCUUAGUGUCCCACAGAAACAUUCUGGGUGCAAUCUGAAUUAAGGUAUGUGUUUUCAAAUAAGUAAUCAGUUUAGAUAUUUGCCUGUGUACCUUUUCCUGUAAUUCAGAGCUUGUGUUCUGUGGGUUUUAUGAUAAACCUGUAAAACAUGUAAGAAUGGUUUUGCAAGUCUGAAUCGUUGAAGGCAGCAAUAAGUGGAUUUAAAGCCUGUUCUUGAGCAGACAAAGGGGAAAAGUGUGACUCUGAUGCUGAACUUGUCAUUUUUCAUUUGACUUGCCUUUAAUUAUUGAAGAAGAGAGAGAACUAGGAAAAGAAAUAGAAUUGAUUAUUGAGCACUCCUAAAAAGCUCACCAUGAUUCUGUGUAGAGCCAAAGUGAAGGAUGAUGGAACAGAGCUCUGUGCAUUAGAAGGAAAUAAACCUGAUGUCCACACAGAGUCUUACUAAUUUCUGUUUUUAAAAUGCAAAAUAAGUUUAGGAAGUGUUGGAAGUUAGUAUUUUGGGAAAGAAAUGGCAGUUCCACAAAACAUUCCAUUCCAUUUAAGAGAGGCCCUUGGACUGAUUCAUGUUGUAACUGCUGUCACUGCAAUCAGUUGGUGGUUCAGCCUUGAAAUGUGCACUUGGCCUUCUAUAAAGCACUGUUUUGUUUGCCUUUCAGUGCUAUGAGUCUUGAUAAAUUGGAGAAGUGCCCAAGAGAAAUUCAUCAUCCUGAGAUACAAAAGGUAGGAAGUGACUUUUUCUGGUUUGGUUCUUUUUCUUUAUUGUUUUCUGGAAAUAGAAGUAAUUAAGUAUAGAUACUACUGGUUUGUUUCUUCCAGUAGCUGAUAAUACUAAUACCAAUAAUAAUAAUAAUAAUAAUAGUAAAGUAAUACUACUUCAACUGUCUUUAUUUAUCCAUUGAACUGGCCAUUUUAAAUCUAAACUUCUAAACACAAAUCAAACCAUCAUCCUUGUAGAAUCUUUAAUAGGAGUGGGCUAAAGAUCCUGGUUUUGUUGACAGGAUUUAUUGGUUCAUGAACAGCAAGAGGUAAGUACAAGCCUAACUACCCUCUAGCUCACAGACCUGCCCGGUGAAUAGAGCUUUGUUUUUUUGAUGGGCUUGUGAUGACUUUGAGAUCAAUUGCUCAUUCAUUACAGUAAAAAAAAAAAAAUUGUUUUGAACAUGACAGCAAAAAUAACUUUAAGCACAACUUAAUAAUAAUAAUAGAUCACCAAUUUUAGUUAAUAAUUUUAUGCUAUACUCUUGGGUGAGGGAAGACUCGGACACUCAAUAUGAGAUCAGCAAGCUAUGUUUAUUGCAGAGAGUAUCAGACACUUAUACAGCACAUAAUAAGCUUAUGAAUAUUCUGUAAGCCAAGCGAUCUAUUGGUUAAACUAUACCAUCAACUCUUCCUCAUUCCUUUGGGCCUACAUUCCCUAUUUCCCACGUCUCUCUGUCUACUUGUUAUCCUACCCAGCUAGGCCCAGGCACACGCUAUCUUGCAGGUGCAAAACUCAAAAAUACCUGUGUUCGGUACUUUCCCAGCUCCUGGUCGGCUAACGAGCGAAUGUCUGCGUGACCUCUGUCAUGGAGCCAUUUCUCCACACUAUACUAUCAAAGUUUAAAGGUAAAUUAUUAUAUAUUAGGAGAUGGUGUAAAGUGUAUGUUGUAAUGUGUAGGAUAUAUACAAAGAUACGUACUUGAAAGUCCGUAGAGGAAACAAAUUUUUACGCCUUCUGUUUGACUGUUUGUCAUAUAUUUGGUUUUAUUUCCCAGGGAUCAGUGAAUUUUAACUCUGGAGUCCUCUAUGCUAAGGAUGCUCAGCUUAGAGAUGAUGAAAUGUUCAGUAAUGUAUUUGCUGCAGCUCUGCUUACCCAAGGUUUGGGUAAAACAAGCUUUGGGUUCCCUCUGUCUCACUGGGAGUUGCCCAAUUCAGUUGCAUCUGGUGAAAUUCACCCUGAGACCUUACAGAACCAGCUCCAACUACGUGAGAGCCAUUUGCAGUUCUCUCCAGACACCUGGAGAAUGGGCGACAUUUCUGAGAAUCCGGCGAGCGUGCUUCUAUCAAAACUCAGUCUGUGAAAUUCCUGGGGAAAACCCUUCUGUGUCCUGAAGGGUUCAAACUCUGGUGAGGAUCCAGUUAUCAGGUGCUCACCUGGAUGGUUCCAGCUCUUAAAGUGAACACUUGUACUCUUGCCCUGUAGUUUACAUCUAUUGUAUUUUUGUUAUUUUGCAGGAUUUUUUGUCUUUGCAAAA